RNAcentral lists this ribosomal RNA (479 nucleotides) under uncultured bacterium. Its description in RNAcentral is "bacterial SSU rRNA". It matches the Rfam family "Bacterial small subunit ribosomal RNA", at positions 28 to 507 of the family's 1533-position model. The record is from RNAcentral.
GAUGAACGCUGGCGGCGUGCCUCAAACAUGCAAGUCGAGCGAGGCUAUGAGUUACCGCAAGGUAAGGCAUAGCCUAGCGGCGAACGGGUGAGUAACACGUGGGUAACCUACCUGGAAGACAGGGAUAACGAUUCGAAAGGGUCGCUAAUACCUGAUAAUAUCCAUCUGCCGGAUGGCGGAGGGAAGAAAGGGGAAACCCGCUUUCAGAUGGGCCCGCGUCCCAUCAGCUAGUUGGUAAGGUAAAGGCUUACCAAGGCGACGACGGGUAGCCGGUCUGAGAGGAUGUACGGCCACACUGGGACUGAGAUACGGCCCAGACUCCUACGGGAGGCAGCAGUUGGGAAUCUUAGGCAAUGGACGAAAGUCUGACCUAGCGACGCCGCGUGAGCGAAAGAAGGCCUUCGGGUCGUAAACCUCUUUCAGUAGGGACGAAGCGUAAGUGAACGGUACCUAUAGAAGAAGCACCGGCCAACUACGUG